CCGAGUUUACAACUCCUAAACCACUGUGAAUAUACCUGUAGUUCCUUUGGCAGGCGGCCCCUGGGAGGGGCCGUAGCCUCGCGGCGCCUGUCAUUGGAGAAACUCUGGCGUCGUUAGAACUCUGAGCUUCUAUAAAAUAGAAUCA
Molecule: unclassified non-coding RNA, 145 nt
Filed under: uncultured fungus
Lineage: Eukaryota; Fungi
Description: sequence contains ITS1, 5.8S rRNA gene
Source: RNAcentral